CAGCAGAUUACAUACACCUCUCAGUCAGUGCCUUUGGAAAGUGGAGAGAUCAAUCCAUCUCUACAGUACCUAUCAGGGAACCAUCUUAAGUCCCAUGUCACUGAUGUAGUUAGUGUGAAAGGGCAUCAUGUUCCUAUAAGGAAGACUUGCUUGUCAUAUAACUAGAAGUUCUAGUCAGGAGUUAAGAGGAAAUGUUACUUCACUGUUUAUCUUUUAGUUAAAGGGUAACUAGAGUAUGCACAACACAGAAUCAGAACAUUGAUUGGGUCUUUAGAUUCUAGCACAUGAUUUUUUAAUAAUUUGUGGAAUGCUUUUUCUUUUUAUCUUUAUGAGAUACUUAGUUGCUACUCUGUCCAUAGCUAUACAAAACUGUUUAUAAAAAAACAUGGACGUGCUUCCAGAACUUUUUGACCUAUAAGCAGGAUUGUUGCUGCUGGCAGAAGGAUUUGGUGUUAUAUUUUCCUAAUGCAAUUGAAAACUGUUACCACUUUUAGGUUGAUUCGACUGUAAAAUGAGAACAUAUACCUUAAUCUUAAAUACUGGUUGCAUUUUGUAGCCUUUCAUAGAAACGGACAUAUUUCUUUAUUCCUGAGGGUAAAGCAUCAAUCUUUUAGGAGAUGACUUAACAGUUAUCAUGUAACAAUUUCUGUUCUAUUUAUGUUUUCCAAAUAAGGGAAAAGCAGCUUACGGUAAUAUGAGGAUCACUGGUCUUACAAUAAUUAAAUAGACUUGUUAUACUGCAUUAAUCCCUUUUGGAACAUUUGGAAUGACUUCUUAGUACUAACCAACAUAGCAUUAGGGCUGACAAUUAAUCUGGUUUUUGUAUUCAACAUUUGUAUGAUAUAAAACAAGUAUAGAGAAACAUAUUUCAGUUUUCAGAUGAGUUUGUAGGAGGACAAAAUGAAAUUUCAUUGAAUUCUCAAGUAACACCAAUAGGGUUCCAAGUACGGAUAAAAUAAGCAAUUCAUUUAGAAUCAGCAUAGGUAGACAAAUUACUUUUGGUAAGUUUUUGUUCUUUGGUGAAUACUAUGUCUGGGCUCUUAGAAUUAUUUUUGCCUUGAGAUUCAUGUUUUAUACAUGAUACACACGAUGUAUGCAAUAUAAAAUAUUCAGACUACUCUUCAUUGAAGAGGUUACUAAUAAUCCCUUGUGAGCUUGUGGUUUCAGGUACCUCUGAUUGAUAAAUCUGUUUGUUAAUCACAGAGAAAACAGAUACAAUUUUUAACUGUAGUCUAAUCUGUUUUUUAGUCCAUAGAACUAGGUUAGGCUAAAGAAGGGCUCUGCAUUCAUUGUUCAGAAAGCAUAAUUAUGAGUUUGUUGAAGGGACUUCCAAGUUAGGAUUAUGGUUAUAUCUCCUGUGGUAGAAGUCCCAGGAGGCAUAAUUUCCUCCUCAGUGUGGGCUCUUUUAUUAUUGUUGAAUUUUUCACAUUGAGGAUGUGAAUUCGACCUUGGUGUUCCAGUUACACAAAAAAUAUUUCAUGGAGGAUGAAGUAUGAGUCCAAUGGUAGGACAGAUUGCAUGCGUAUGUGCACAGUAUUAUGGAAAUGCUGAGAUUAUUGUGUGUUUGUAGCCAUUUUAGACCAUGUGCCUGGGCCCAGCUAACACAUUGUCAGGGAAAAACAUGAUGUAGUAACAAUAUUAGAUCAUGCAAAUGAGACUACUGAAUAGUAAUAGUUAUGGGCAAUAUUUUGGAAAACACUGAUUAGUGACAGUUUUAUUACAGCAAAUGUAUGUAUCAAGUCCCCAGAUUUCAUUGUAAUGCACUGAAAACAGAUGUCAAAGUGUCCCAAACAGAAUUUCAUGGUUAAUCUACAUAUUGCAUGGAAAGUACAAACAAACCAUUUAGAAUUCUGUUAUUUAAUCCUUUUAGAAGGAAUGAAAAUAUACAAUUUAGAAUUACUCCUUUCUUUCUUUUAAUUUCAGUUUUUGUUUUCUAGGGGCUGAUGAUAAAUUAUUAUUUUUUUGUUUGUUUUGUUUGUUUUCUUAAGAUGCAUAUGGGAGAAACAUAUCUACAUAUGGACAUGAUUUUAUUUAAUGUACUUUAAACUGUAAGUUUCUUAACAUAAGGUCUUUGCAUUAACAAAAAGAAAAAAUAGUUUCUAAAUUAUUUAGAAAGGUUACUAAAUGGAAUUACUUUGUCCUAUUUCUUUGUUUGAUGACAUAAUGCUUCACUCUGGGCCACACAGCAACUGAAGCAACUUGCUUAAGUAGAAGAGUAAAAGGUUAUUGGUUCUACUUGCAAGUACCUAGGAGAUUUCAGGCAUGUCAAUGACUUGGUUUCCUUAUAGUCAGGUGAAAAAAUUGAUCUAGAGGACAUCUACUGUUCUUAGCUCUGGCAUCCUAGGAAUUUGGCUUCUGAUUAUCUUGGCAAAGGUACAGUCUCCUUCAUGUUAAGCAGAAUUUAAUAAGGUUUAGUGUAUUCUUGUUAAGCUUGGGGUUUUAAUAUAUCCUAUUUAUUAAAGAGAAAUAGAAAAUGUUUAACCUGACUAUUGAGUAACACUUUGAUGUUCCAUUCAAAGUCCAAUAAUCAAAUCAUUUAGCUCAACCUCAAUAAAAAAACUGUUUUUAACUCAUAGCACUUUAGAGAAUUGAGAAUCUUUAGAGAUUCUCUCACUUUACAGUUUGGAAUACUGAGUUGAAGAGAGACCCAAAACCACUUUGGUUGCUUGUGUUAGUUUUACUGCUACAGAGGCAAGCCAUCAGCAUAAAUACUGAAAAGUGUUUUUUUAUGAAAGCAUAGCAGCAGUAUUUUUUAAAGGAACACGGAAAAACCUUCAUGAAGAUGUAUUAUCAUUUGUAAAUUAUUGAAGUAAAUUCCUUCAGUUGUGUUUUCUGUGUAGUGCCUUUUCAUAGGAAGUGUUCUAAUGAAGUCAGUCUGCAGCCAUGGUCUUCCGGAGAAUGAUUGCCUUACUUUUUAUCAGUGGUUUGAGAACACAUCCUUGAAGUUAUAGUGGACUAACUUCAUGGAUUUGGUACUAAUUGGAAAACAGGAAGGACUCAUUAAAAAUGUAUUGUCAGUUUUCAGUAACACAAACGAUCAUAUUUGAGCCAGAGUCCAAGUGGCUCAUGGCUACAAUUCUAGCCAGAAGGCUGAGCUCUGGAGUAUUUUGGGUUCAGAACCAGCCCAGGCACAACAAGUCUGUGUGACUAUCUCCAAAUUAAACCAUCAAAAAGCUGUGCUGGAAGUGUUACUCAUGUGGUCAAACACCAGCUGAGAUAGCAAGUUGAACAACUUGUUCUAGUUGAA
Long non-coding RNA from Perognathus longimembris pacificus (Pacific pocket mouse), 3247 nucleotides. RefSeq lists it as uncharacterized. Lineage: Eukaryota; Metazoa; Chordata; Mammalia; Rodentia; Heteromyidae. The record is from RefSeq and is a predicted model, not a curated record. The transcript is spliced from 3 exons.